UCUCGUAACAUCACCAUCUCUGGCUGCUAUUGACCUUGUUUUUGGAGUAAAACACGAUUGAAGCUGAAUUAGUGAGGAUGACUCCUGCUCCUGUCAUCUCUAAGCUCCUCACACAUCUUUACCUGCACAUGAGGAAAAUCACUCCUGUAGAAUGCAGAUGUUCAGAGGGAGCUGAUGCCACAUCUGGUCCAGCUGAUGGAAGGUCUUGAAGUUCUCUGACUGGCCUCGACUGAAGAUGGUCGUGUCACUGGAUUUAAGGUUCAGAUGCUCAGUAACAAACUCCACCAAUGUGCUAACAGGGAAGCUUUAGGUUUAUUAAAUGUUGCUAUGAAGGUAUCACUGUUUUUCUUUGUGAAUGCAAUGUGCUACAACUGAAACUUGAAUUAGAACUUAGAAGUAAAUCCUUCCAUCUGAAAGGAUUUAGUUGCAUUAAUAACCUCAUAACAUUCUAAUUUUUAUUCCAGUCUUAGUUGGAAAUAGAAUCUCUGUAUUGAUUCAGGUAAAAACUGAACUUCACAGCAUGUUGAAGCAAAACAACCAGAUGAAAACUGUGAUGGUGUUGGAUUGUCAGACCGUAAUGUUGCAGCUCAAAGCAGCUUUUCUAUCUCAGUUCAUUCUGACAUUCGGCUAUGAAUCAACACAGCAGAUGGUGAUCUAUGCUGUGGAAGUCUCACAUCUCCUGAUUUAAUGGAGCUGCUUUGCACUUUUUACACUGUUUAUUCACCAACACUUUAUUUAAUAAAAGUCCCAUCUAGUUUUUAUGAGGAAUGUGAUGUUUUAAUUUCUCUGUGAAUAACUGCAGUCUAAUGCAACAGCUGGAGUUGUAACAUCUGUCCUGAUAUUGAUCAUGAAGUAUUGAUCAGAAUACUUAUGGUUAGCAGUCAUCCCUGAAGUUUUACAUUAAAAUCUUUACUUGUGUUGUGAACUUUGGUAAGAAGCAGAAAUGUUAGCGUUGCCAUGGAUACAUGAGUGUUAAAUUCUGUCCAUGUUUCCAUUUUGGGAAAUGCAGUCCAGUUCCAGAAUGUGGAGGAAUUUAGUCUCACAAUCACAGACAACAAAUAUUAUCUGAAAGUCGGGUUAUUGUUGUUUAUCAGCACAAUACAAAAAAGAUUAAUGUUAGAAAUAUUCCAGUUAAGACUCUAGAAUAUCAUGAUUUAUGUAAAUUUACCUCAAUAAUAUGAAUUGAAGAUUGUACAGUGAUAUUUAUUAUUUAAGUUUAGCUGAUUAAAGUUUAUGACUCUGCACUAAAAUAUUAUUUAAAUUGACAUCAUUAUUAUAAUAUUUAGGGUCAGACCCUACAGUAUUGAGAUUAAGAAAUCAAAUAUUCUAUAAAUGUAAAUACACUGAACUCAUUUGGAUCUAUUUAAGUGAGACUCUACAAUAUUAUUUGACACAAAUCUAUCUAAAUCAAAAUUUUAAUAAUUUCCACGCCAAACAUUUACUGGACUGAUUUAAAUAUUAAAAUCACUCCUUUCUAAUCCUCUGCUGUACGUUCAGACCUGAGGCCUUAAAUAGAAACGCACAAGUAUCUGAUUGAAGGAACUUCUGCAGAGUCCUGGUUCCAGAACAUGAUGAUAGAAUUAUAGACAAACUUUAACAAAAGCUGCCUGAGAGUUUACAGGUUUUUAUGUUGGAUUUCUUCAGUAAUUUAAUGAGCGUUAUCAGCAAUAAUCAAGUGUUCAUUUGAUGAACUUCAUUUCCUAAAACAUCCAGAAUUGGAGCUCAUAUCUUUGGCAGCUGUAAAGUUUCUGCUCCUUCAAAGUUCACAACACAAUGAAUGAAUUCCUAAAACACUCUCAAUGCUGGAGAGCGUUUGUGAUGCUGAAGCAGUGAUCAGUUUUUCUGUUUCUUCUCUGGAGAUGCACAAUGAGGGACGUCUGCAGCGACUGAGAAAGAGUCUCACCACAUCCUGACAUGAGGAAAAAGACUUUAUUGAAGACUACAAUGAGAAAAACUAUCAGACAGCAGACGGCAUGCAUUCAAGUCUGUAGCUGCUGAAUUCAUGGAUGAAUCAUCUGGCACUAGAGAAGAAGACCAUCAAACAUCCACGUCAGCUGAUGGAGGUCCAAGAGUCUCACCCAACAAACAACCUACAGAGUGAAGACCUCGAAUCUGAUUGGAUGGCCUCCUAUUCAGCCACAUGUGUGAACAAAUGCCUCUAAGCUGAUUUGUUUUCUAAAAUAAAUCUAGUUUGAGUCCUAAUCUAUGCCUGUGUUUGCUUCUUUACACCACUGUUAACAGUUUAGGCUGUUAGAUUGUUCCAGGUAAGACAAGUACAAGAUUCUUCAGAGCCGUUCUACCAGGAGCCUGACAGGAAGAACUCCAACAGCUACUGAAUGUUCCUGUGGUCCCUUCAAGGCUACAGGAGGAGCCCUACG
This is a long non-coding RNA of Amphiprion ocellaris (clown anemonefish), 2378 nucleotides long. Lineage: Eukaryota; Metazoa; Chordata; Actinopteri; Pomacentridae. The record is from Ensembl.